UGAGCAAUCUGCCCUUCUCAUCGGAAUAAGCGUUGGAAACGACGUCUAAUGCCGAAUACGACCUCCUUUCGCAUGAUCGGAGGUGAAAAGCUCCGGCGGAGAAGGAUGAGCUCGCGGCCUAUCAGCUAGUUGGUGUGGGUAAUGGCCCACCAAGGCGACGACGGGUAGCCGGCCUGAGAGGGUGACCGGCCACACUGGGACUGAGACACGGCCCAGACCUCCGUACGGGAGCAG
This 234-nucleotide ribosomal RNA is filed under the name uncultured bacterium. RNAcentral describes it as "partial 16S ribosomal RNA". It matches the Rfam family "Bacterial small subunit ribosomal RNA", at positions 118 to 347 of the family's 1533-position model. The record is from RNAcentral.